RNAcentral lists this long non-coding RNA (816 nucleotides) under Rattus norvegicus (Norway rat). RNAcentral's name for it is "long non-coding RNA NONRATT022964". The record is from RNAcentral. Lineage: Eukaryota; Metazoa; Chordata; Mammalia; Rodentia; Muridae.
UUUUUUUUUUUUUGGUUCUUUUUUUCGGAGCUGGGGACCGAACCCAGGGCCUUGCGCUUCCUAGGUAAGCGCUCUACCACUGAGCUAAAUCCCCAGCCCCUCAUCUCAGUAAAUCUUAAGAAAGCCACAUCCCUCUCUACAAGGAGUCGUUGGCCUAUCUGUGGGGUUCCUCUUUCCAUCCUUCAUCCAGCCCUUCGCAGGGCCCUGAAACCUACACGCACUGCCUAUUGACUGGAAACAGCCUCACUUCUGCAGGUGAAACCUCUCUGAGAUCUCUCUGGCCGGGCACUUGGUGCCCCCUCCUUGUGUCCUUUUGAUCUGUCAGAUAGGUUUCUCAGCCCUAGUUCAUAACACUCUAUCUUCUCAUUCCUUUGGUCAGGCAUAAAGUGCCAUCCUCCACUGGGCCAUUCGUUCACCACCUAUGCUAAGAGGCUUUCCAGCAGUUGUGGCCCCAAAUUCACUCUUCUAAUGAAAUCUUACAGGAAACUCCAGAAUAAAGCAGGGUUUCUGAGCCCUGGACCUGCAGCCUAGGAGAGCAUCAGAUCGAACUACUGGAAAACUCUCCUCACAGAUCGUUUCACCCUCUCCUCAGGAGAGCUCUGGCCCGAAAUACUUUCUACUCAACUUUGGCACUGUCUGUAGCACCGUAGUCUCUGUGAUGCUAGCUCCCCUAGAACCAGGAAUAGGGUUUGAGUUCUAAGCUCCAAGGGUAGGGUUUGACGUAGAAAGGCAAGAGAACUUAGUUGGGGAGCCCAGCACAGGCCAUAUAUGAUGUUAUUUCUCCACCGCUAGUGAAAUGAGCCAAUUCGAUCCAGA